CCAAGGUUACACCUGCAGGUCAAUGGCAGAACCAGGAUUAGAGUCCAAAUUUCCUGACUCCACAGUGCCUCCUCAACUGCAUUUAGGCCAGAAUGUAGUGAAAGUUUAGUAACUUUUGGUUCCUGUGUGGAUGAAUUCUAUGGCCUGGGUUCAACCCCAAGAAGGUCCCAUCUCUGGCACCAGCCCUAAUGGCGCGCUUUGUUACUAAGCUGGGUCACUGGCAAGAUCCUGGAGACAGAGUUGGCCUUUUAAAUAUCCUUAGCCCAGAUCAUUUAGCACUUUGGACAAUAACAAAGCAGGGCUCUAUGAGACGUCGGUGUAUGCGGGGAAGCCCCGGUGUGCUGUGCUUUUGGCAGUCCAUGUUGCUGAAAUUGUGCUGUUCCAUUCUGCACUAGUUGCAGUUUUCUUAUGGCUGAUUCAAGCCCAAGUAAACUAUGCUGCCAUAAUCCAUCUGGGAGGUGAUGGUGGGCCUGAGUAUUGUGCCACAGUGUUUAACCAAUUAGCAAUGGUAAAAGGUGGGUGCUGCCAAAUGAAAGCCCAGCUUCAGCUAAGAGUCCAGAACUGCUAAACUGCAGGCUACUUUGAGCUGUUUGGGUGGCAUAUAAACCAGGGAGAAAUAACUAUUUUACUUUGCUAAGUGUAGUAAAGCAGCAUGAUAGGGUUAACUGGGUUAGCCAGAAUACUGUGAGGUAGUCAUGGUUCAGUUUUUGUGGAAGUUACAGAGAGUGAGUGAGUUAUGAUGCAAUUAAAUAGAGCAGCAAGUUCCCAGCCUGUAGUCCUGUGAGCAGACUUGGUUUUGUUGCACUGAGUGUUCCGUUACAAACAUAUGUCCCUAAAAUAAAUUCAGGCCUAAAUUCCCAAGGUGUGGGCCAUCUGCAGCUCCCAUUGAAUCAACAGGAGCUGGAAGUGCUCGGCACCAAUGAAAAUCAGGCCAUCAGCUUGUAAAAUGACCUUGACGAGGAAAUGCACCCUAGCUGAUAAAGCCACAGAUAAGAAGCUGGGAUCUUGGGUUCUAAUCUCAGCUGUUUAGUUACUGACUCCCUGUGCAACCUUGGUAAGUCAUUUGACUUUCUGUACCAUGGUCUGCUCACUAGGGAAACUAGGUAAAACAGAGGAUCUCACUGAUGACCAGGAGCUGCAGCUGACCUGACCUUUGCAUGAAAAGCUGUGUGCCUACACUUGCCAUUGAAGUCCACGGGGCGUGCAGAAGCUGAGCACCUUUGAAACUCUGGCCACAUCUAUUAAGGAUCUUUCAUCCUUUUGGAUCUCGAUCUAUCUAGCAAUCAUGACAAAUAGCCUCCGGGCUUCAUUCCCACUAGUUACAGAGCUGAUGAUUCUGGGAUUUAAUUGGGUAAUGUGGAGGGCUGACAGACACCUUUCAAGAAUGUAAAUUGCUCACCUGUGAUGGAAGACAAGGUAAUUUGCAUGAAAAUGCCAAGUGCUCUUUGUAAAGGAGGGGAGUGCAUGUUUA
Long non-coding RNA from Malaclemys terrapin pileata, 1471 nucleotides. RefSeq lists it as uncharacterized. The transcript is spliced from 3 exons. The record is from RefSeq and is a predicted model, not a curated record. NCBI's taxonomy places the organism in Eukaryota, Metazoa, Chordata, Testudines, Emydidae.